This 422-nucleotide ribosomal RNA is filed under the name uncultured prokaryote. Its description in RNAcentral is "bacterial SSU rRNA". It matches the Rfam family "Bacterial small subunit ribosomal RNA", at positions 355 to 774 of the family's 1533-position model. The record is from RNAcentral.
UGAGGAAUAUUGGUCAAUGGGCGCAAGCCUGAACCAGCCAAGUAGCGUGCAGGAUGACGGCCCUAUGGGUUGUAAACUGCUUUUAUACAGGAAUAAAGUUAGCCACGUGUGGUUAUUUGUAGGUACUGUAUGAAUAAGGACCGGCUAAUUCCGUGCCAGCAGCCGCGGUAAUACGGAAGGUCCAGGCGUUAUCCGGAUUUAUUGGGUUUAAAGGGAGCGUAGGCCGUCUGUUAAGCGUGUUGUGAAAUGUAGAUGCUCAACAUCUGAAUUGCAGCGCGAACUGGCAGACUUGAGUGUGCGCAACGUAGGCGGAAUUCGUGGUGUAGCGGUGAAAUGCUUAGAUAUCACGAAGAACUCCAAUUGCGAAGGCAGCUUACGGGAGCACAACUGACGCUGAAGCUCGAAAGUGCGGGUAUCGAACA